This 284-nucleotide ribosomal RNA is filed under the name uncultured bacterium. Its description in RNAcentral is "partial 16S ribosomal RNA". It matches the Rfam family "Bacterial small subunit ribosomal RNA", at positions 336 to 612 of the family's 1533-position model. The record is from RNAcentral.
UUCCUACGGGACGCAGCAGUAGGGAAUCUUCCACAAUGGGCGAAAGCCUGAUGGAGCAACGCCGCGUGGGUGAAGAAGGUCUUCGGAUCGUAAAACCCUUUUGCUAGAGAAGAAAGUGCGUGAGAGUAACUGUUCACGUUUCGACGGUAUCUAACCAGAAAGCCACGGCUAACUACGUGCCAGCAGCCGCGGAAAUACGUAGGUGGCAAGCGAUAUCCGGGUUUAUUGGGCGUAAAGGGAGCGGAGGCGGUCUUUUAAGUCUGAUGUGAAAGCCUGCGGCUGAA